CCUACGGGGGGCAGCAGUGGGGAAUAUUGCGCAAUGGGCGAAAGCCUGACGCAGCGACGCCGCGUGAGGGAUGAAGGUCUUCGGAUCGUAAACCUCUGUCAGCAGGGAAGAACGGUCACUGUGCUAAUCAGCAGUGAAUUGCCGGUACCUGCAAAGGCAGCACCGGCUAACUCCGUGCCAGCAGCCGCGGUAAUACGGAGGGUGCGAGCGUUAAUCGGAAUUACUGGGCGUAAGGCGCUCGUAGGCGGUAUGUCAAGUCAAGGGUGAAAUCCCCGCGCUCAAGGUGGGAACUGCCUUUGAAACUGGCAAACUGGAAUGUGUGAGAGGAUAGUGGAAUUCCAGGUGUAGGAGUGAAAUCCGUAGAUAUCUGGCGGAACAUCAGUGGCGAAGGCGACUAUCUGGCACAUAACUGACGCUGAGGAGCGAAAGCGUGGGUAGCAAACAGGAUUAGAUACCCUAGUAGUC
This 465-nucleotide ribosomal RNA is filed under the name uncultured bacterium. RNAcentral describes it as "partial 16S ribosomal RNA". It matches the Rfam family "Bacterial small subunit ribosomal RNA", at positions 338 to 795 of the family's 1533-position model. The record is from RNAcentral.